This is a long non-coding RNA of Amphimedon queenslandica, 403 nucleotides long. RefSeq lists it as uncharacterized. Lineage: Eukaryota; Metazoa; Porifera; Demospongiae; Haplosclerida; Niphatidae. The record is from RefSeq and is a predicted model, not a curated record. The transcript has 2 exons.
ACGGAUGGGUAUAAAGUUCGGACCGGACCGGACCGCCGGACCAAAUAUACGGAGUAAAUUUACUGCCGGACUGAAGAAUACGGGUCCGAGUUUUAUGCAUACGCUCUGGAGGCUUUUGGUGCAUAUAAUUCGGACCGGACCAUUAGCGAAAGAACUUUUAAAUUUCAGAUCAACUACAGAUAAAAUAGCAAGACAUGAUGAAAGUCAACCAUUUGAAUGCUAGCCUGACAACUGAUAGCUCAAGCUCUGACGAAAAUGAUGCAACAUUGCUGUAGCAAAUAUGGCUGUAAUCUUUAUUAUUGUAAAUGUGAUUAAACUGUUUUUAAUAAAGAAUUAUAUAUAUAAAUGAAUGUUGAUAAUUAGCUAUUUAAUUAAUUUUUUUAAGAAUUAAAUUUUAAAGUGA